Molecule: ribosomal RNA, 492 nt
Filed under: uncultured bacterium
Lineage: Bacteria
Description: partial 16S ribosomal RNA
Rfam family: Bacterial small subunit ribosomal RNA
Source: RNAcentral
AGUGAACGCUGGCGGUAGGCCUAACACAUGCAAGUCGAACGGCAGCACAGUAAGAGCUUGCUCUUACGGGUGGCGAGUGGCGGACGGGUGAGGAAUACAUCGGAAUCUACUUUUUCGUGGGGGAUAACGUAGGGAAACUUACGCUAAUACCGCAUACGACCUACGGGUGAAAGCAGGGGAUCUUCGGACCUUGCGCGAUUGAAUGAGCCGAUGUCGGAUUAGCUAGUUGGCGGGGUAAAGGCCCACCAAGGCGACGAUCCGUAGCUGGUCUGAGAGGAUGGUCAGCGACACUGGAACUGAGACACGGUCCAGACGCCUACGGGAGGCAGCAGUGGGGAAUAUUGGACAAUGGGCGCAAGCCUGAUCCAGCCAUACCGCGUGGGUGAAGAAGGCCUUCGGGUUGUAAAGCCGUUUUGUUGGGAAAGAAAAGCAGCAGGUUAAUACCCCGCUGUUCUGACGGUACCCAAAGAAUAAGCACCGGCUAACUUCGUG